RNAcentral lists this ribosomal RNA (460 nucleotides) under uncultured bacterium. Its description in RNAcentral is "partial 16S ribosomal RNA". It matches the Rfam family "Bacterial small subunit ribosomal RNA", at positions 338 to 795 of the family's 1533-position model. The record is from RNAcentral.
CCUACGGGAGGCAGCAGUGAGGAAUAUUGGUCAAUGGACGAGAGUCUGAACCAGCCAAGUAGCGUGAAGGAUGACUGCCCUAUGGGUUGUAAACUUCUUUUAUAUGGGAAUAAAAUGAUCCACGUGUGGGAUUUUGUAUGUACCAUAUGAAUACGGAUCGGCUAACUCCGUGCCAGCCGCCGCGGUAAUACGGAGGAUCCGAGCGUUAUCCGGAUUUAUUGGGUUUAAAGGGAGAGUAGUUGGAUUGUUAAGUCAGUUGUGAAAGUUUGCGGCUCAACCGUAAAAUUGCAGUUGAGACUGGCAGUCUUGAGUACAGUAGAGGUGGGCGGAAUUCGUGGUGUAGCGGUGAAAUGCUUAGAUAUCACGAAGAACUCCGAUUGCGAAGGCAGCUCACUGGACUGCAACUGACACUGAGGCUCGAAAGUGUGGGUAUCAAACAGGAUUAGAUACCCUAGUAGUC